UUUAUUCUUCCAUCUAAUUAGGGUUUCUUCUUCAUAUCCAUUCUAACACCACACCACCAAUAACAUGAGGGCUAAGGUAACAACAACAUCUUCAACUCUCUCUAUCCCUUAAAAUUGUUGUUGAAAUUGAUAUAUUGUGUGAUUUCUCUAUCUUUUAAAAUUGUUGUUAAAAUUGAUAUAUUGUGUGAUUUGUUUGUUUGUUAUUUGAUUUAUACAACAGUGGAAGAAGAAGCGAAUGAGGAGAUUGAAGAGGAAGCGUCGAAAGAUGAGACAGAGAUCCAAGUAGAUUGAUCGAAAUCAAAGUUUUAUGUUUUUGUUUUUGUUUUAGAUCGGCUUAGGUAUCGGUAGAUAUAUGUAUCGGUAUCGGAGUUUUCUUUUUAGCUCGGAAACGAUUUCACCUUCGGUUGAUGAGUCGGAAUAGCUACCAAAAUAGUGGUUUUAUGUUUAUCGUAAUUUGUAUCGGAUUUUAUGGUUUUUUCGUAAUAUCGGAAGAAUCGGAUUAGUAGCUUAUGGUUAUUUGGCUUAAUGUUUGAUUUGAUUAAUUAGUUUGAUUUAGUUUUUAACUUUUUAUUAAAUAGAGAAGAUAGCAUGGCCUGAGAUUAAGAUUAGUUUCAUAAUUCCUUUAUUCAUGAUUUGCCCCUUGUAUGCGGUUUUUAUUUAAGCAAUUUUUAUCACUAGAAUUAGUCAUGCUUUCACACUAAAAACCUUCACAUGAUAGUUGCCUAUAGUUUUUAUCUGCUUGUAAAGUUGUAUGCCAUGGUCUAUUAUGGAUUGAAUGGUCUAAAAGUUUGAAGCAUGUUUCAAACUUCUGAUGUACUUAGUCCGAUAUGGUCAUGGGAAUAUAGGAAUGUUAUGGUAGUUCUUGUUGUUUCCGGCUUGCUUGUUAAAUGUUGGUUUAUUGCAUUUUGUUGUUGUUGUAGAAGACACAAUAUUGUAGUGCCUGUUUAGGCUGUAUCAUAAUGCAGGCAUACAUUAUCUGAGCCUUUCUGCAAGCCUUACUCUUUGCCAUCAUAGAGUUUGUAUUUUAUGUUUCCUGUUAGGUUUGAGGCACAUUCGCUGAUAACACCUUGAGUUGGCAUACUGCCCUACCAUGUCAAGGUUUGGAAAUAAAGAAAACCUUUAAGCAUGUUUUUGUUUCUAAAUGUUGCAUUGUACCGUUUUUGUAUAGAGGAGUAAGGAGGUGCAGUUUUUACUUCACCGAUGUGCCUAUUCUUACUCCGGGAGUACUGUUAAUUUCUAUUACUUGUGAUGCUGGCAAACAUGCCUUGUUAGUUGUUACAAUGGAUUGGAUCCAUCUGUGAUUAAAUGUGAUUUGUUAAGCUAUGGAUGGGCAGAAUUGGUUGUCAUUUGGUUUGCUAAAAUGCUAAGUACUGUACUUUAAACAGUUCCUAAGAGCAAUCCCAAUGGGAGGGCAGUUUGGUGCCCUCCACGUAGGUGUAGGUUUGGGGAUGACUCUAGUUAUUAGGUGGUAAACAUUUGUAUUUUUGCAACCCAACCAACCCAACAAAGCAGGGCCUAUAGCAACUUAGAGCAUUCCCAAUGGAGGGUGGAUAAAUCCACCUCUACGUAGGUGCCACGUAGGUCCACCUAGGCAAAAUCCACCUCAAAGAGAGAGGUGUAUUUGCACUUGGGUGGUAGUUUCCCAACGCAGAGUGGACUCUUUGGUAUAGAAAGUGGAUUUUUUUAAAAAUCCGGACGGCAUGUCACAUGUCGUCCCAUUUUUUUUUGCAAAAAAAUAGGGAGACGGCAUGUCACAUGCCGUCCGAGAGUCCAAAAUUUUAAAACACUACUUAAAACUUAAAAAAACAAACGGAUGCCGUCCGAGAGUCCAAAAAUUUUAAAACACUACUUAAAACUUAAAAAAACAAACGGACGGCAUGUAAGGAUUUAUCCACCUUCAAAUCCACCUUCAAAUCCACCUUCAAAUCCACCUUCAAAUCCACCUGUGGGCAGCCCACCUCCGAAAUCCACCUCCCCUUGGGAAGCUCUUUUUGUCUACAAGGUGGAUUUAUCCACCCCACCUCCAAAAUCCACCUUGCAUUGGGAAUGCUCUUAUGUGUUUCAUUUUGAUGAAUAGGUCUAAUAACAGUUGGGUUUUUAUACUUUUUAUGUUUCUCUAGCCAGUCUUAUUCGCAGUCUUAAGUGGCCAUUGUCUUGUGUGCCAGAGUAGCACACUGCGUGAAUAACCUUGAGAUGAUAGUGGGAGCAUAUGCACUGGGGUACAACAGUAAAUCUUUUUAUUUGAAUGCACAAUGUAGCUUAGGACACAAUCAACUCACUUUAUGUCUCUAUCCAUAGUCGUGCAAUUGUGUAUACGGAAUAAUUCUAUGCUUACAAACUUUUUUCACAAACUACCUCCACAAACUGAUGGGGAUUCAACCGAUAAAUAAAUCAGAAUUUUCUUAUGUACUCUUUUUUAGUUCUUUCCAUGAAACCGAAACUCUUUUGCAAGCAUCUCUCUUCUCUCUUUUUUUUUUUUUUUUUUUUUGUUAUUUUUUUAAUUAUAAUUAAUAAACUCAACGAAUUACACAAAAGUAGAGGACAAACGCGCUACAAACUGCGCGGAAAGUCCAUUCUGGAUAGCAAACUCGAUUCUCCUAAAUACAUAUUCGUUCAAACCUGCAGUCAUCACGUUACUUUUUUUUUGUGUGGAGUUAUUUUAUUUCUCACUAGUCCAGAAUUUGAAAAUAAAUAUCUUAUUAAUCCCAUAAUCAAUUUUAUACGAUAUUAUUAAAUCUUUCAUUGGUAUAAUAAAGGAAGAAGAUGAUUUUAUCUCGAAAACUUGUGAUAAAAGGAAAGAACAAUGGGUGCUUAGGGGUAAUUUACCUCUUUAAUUAUUUCAUUAACUCUACCCUAACUGGUGCUUAGGGGUAAUUUAUAAAUCUCACUAAUAAAUUUUUUUUAUUCUUCACACAAUUAGGAAAAUCCUUUUGAUUUUGAUUCAUUCCUAAAACAAUAUUCAUAUUAACAACCAAUUUUUUUUUUCAAUUUCCUCUAGUUUUACUACUAUUUAUAUCUAAAAUUUUAAAAAUAUUGACAAUGAUUAUUCAAUUAUUCAUUAAAAUAAAAAAUUGACAGAAGAUUGAUCAUGUUUAUUUUGCAAGAGUUCCCAUUCCUGAUGCACAAUGAUUUUCGAGUCUAUACUGUUAUAAUCUUAUGAGUUCCUUAUAUAGUGGGGAAAAAAAAAGAAUGAGACAGAGUAAGAAUCAAAACAUAACUUGUUAGAUAUUUUGUAUAUUCUUUAUUUUCUUAUUUGUAGGUGGAUAUACAAAUUUGUAAAGAUAUUAAUUAAUUAUUGAUAACAACUGUAUUUAUAUAUGUAUGGUUAUUGAGGAUAAUUAAGUAAACUUUGAAAAUAAUCAUUGGCAAGAUCAAUUUUGCUCUUGGCAAAAUCUGGAACCUUAAUAUUAGACAAACUACUAAACAAAAGAUUUUUGAAAAUUUGAAGAAGAGAAUGCAUGUAAUAUAUAUUAGAAUUUACAGUUUUAGUUUGCUAUAAUUUGAGUAAGAGUGAAAGCUUGGGUGAGAGAGAGAGAGGGAAAAAAAGUGUGUUUUUUUUUUUUGUGAUGAGAUCUGACGCAAAAUUUUUAAUUACGUGGACAAACCACCUCAGUUGACACGUUUGUUUGUAGAAGAAGUUCGUGGGGUUUCUUAGUGAGAGCAUUCCCAAUGGUAAAAGGCUUUUAGGGGUGCCACAUAAGAGAGAGGGAGAAGGUUUUUAGGAUAGACUUGAUAUUAAAAGUAAUUUAUGGUUUUAGAGUUGCCAAUGGUUGAGUGUUAAAAGCUUAAAAUUUCACUUUCCCAAAGACAUGAUGGCUGUGCUUGUUUCCCCGGAAGUUAUGGGGAAACGAAAACGGAAAGAUUUUAAAUUUUAAGAAAGGUAACAAAUUUUCAAAACUUUCCAUUUAUAACCAGGAUUGUUGCUUGAUUACCAGAUCAAUAAAAAAGGAAAAAAAAGACGUGGCGAGAUUAUAAGCUUUGGGGACCGGUGGGGACCAUAAAUUAGAGACGUGAUUUUCUGUUUUGCAUAGAUUUCCUGGUUUAUCAAAACUGCAAUUUUUGCUGACGUGUUUUACAUUUUAAAAACCUUUUUACAGUGGGACCCAUAUCAACUGAAAUCACCAAGCACCUGGAAAAACAAAAAAUCAGCAAAUCGCUGACGUGGUUUUCCAUUCCAGUUUUUUUCCUAGAGAACAAGCACGGCCGAUGUAUAAAAUUUAACUUUGAAUUAACUAACUAAUCCUAUGUGGCACUUUUAACUCUCGGCAAAUUUGCCAAGGAGUUAAAAGUAUUUUGUUUGAAAAAUGUGUUAAUAUCAACCAUUGGCAAAAGUUUUUUACUAAAAGUUCUUAAAAGGAAUUUAAAACCUACCGUUGGGAAUGCUCUGAGUGUAGAAUUACUCAAUAUUGAGCGAGUAUGCAAGGAUAACACGUGUUGUUUUUGAAAGUCACAGUGGAUUGUUUGAUGCUUAGAUAUCUCUUUUUCGACACCUUAAAUACUCAAGUUGAUUAUUAGAUAUCUCAUUGUUUUGGAAUUCAUCAGUGGUCCUACCUCAAGACGUUCCUUGUUGUAAUAUUGUACUUGAAAAUGAAGCCACGAAGGGAUAUACGUUGUAUAUCUAUUUUCUAUAGUGACUUUGAGACAAAAUUUCCUAAACUUUUUGAAAACUAUCUUUAAUUUUAAAUGUCAGAUUAGAUGAAUGAAAAUGUGCAUAAUUGACCAACGACAUCUUUUUGGUUAUGAAUCUGAGUUUUAUUCCAUAUCAAAUUAAUGACAGGCCCAUAUACACGUCGAACAGAUUCGCAUACACUAAUUUACAUUGAUAAGGUGUCUUUUUUAUUAAAAAAUUAUUUUCUAUUCCAUCUCUUUGUAAUACAUUGAUCUUAUUGUUUAUUGUUUGGUAAUUUGUUUUUUCAGUAUUUUGAGUAUAGAGGAGUUACCUUAAUCUACUACCUUUGGAGUAGCUCGGCCCCGCUGAGGGGUUGGGCCACGUCUGCACCCUGCUAGUUCAGAUGCAAGCCUUUAUUUCAAAGGUUGUCUUUGCAUUCUUCUUUUUUGAACUGGCAGGAGUGCAGGUGUUGAAACCCGGGUUUGACUGAAUUGGAAAAUUAUCCUUCUGAAUCUUCCUGCUCCAUUUUGUCAAUCCCGGUUGAGUGGAUGUGUCUUUCAUCCACAUGGUUCUUGCAUUUGAAUUGCUUGGCCAAGCUCUUUGACAGAGCCUGAUGAUAACGAAAAAAAUGAAAAGACUUGCCUUGACUUGGAAGUAUUGCCGUGGUUGUAAUUAAGGUAUGUGCCAAAGUUUUCAUAGCCUCUUUUUGCAUUACCUUCUUUUGUUAUCAGUUUUGGUUUUAAUCGCAAGCAUGUUGAUGGAUUUGAUGCUAUUCAUUUUCAGUGACUAGGUACUGCUUAGUCUCUCUGACGCUGCACAUGGACAUUAUACAACUAAUGGAGAUUCGUGCACUUUGAGCUUUGGUGCCUUGGUGGAAUACGUGUUACUACCAGAUCUUUGAGCUUUAAGAUGAAUACUUGAUUGCUAUUGGAAUUUUUGACCUAAAUACAUAUUCCAUGGAAAUUUAUGUGCUGCCUCACCUUUAUAUAUAACUUCCUAGACUCCUAGCAUAAAGAUUUGGAACCUGAAUAGAACAUUGUGUAUUUAUUUGUAUGAUCCCAUCAAUGGCAGCUACUUCAAAAUUGCAGUAUGACUUAGUUCCGUGUUUUUUUUUUCACAAUGUUUUGUUUGCCAAAUUGUUGUCGCAAAUGACAGAACUACUUAAAAGUCGUUGCAAGGUGUCAUUUUGAUUUGAUUAUUUAUUGUUUUUUACAUGGAAAUGGUAGUGGGUUCUUCUGCAGAGUUUGUUGUAGAUGGCUAUAGUAUAAAAUGUGCAGUGGAAGUAUCUGUUGUGCGUAGUGGAAACUUAAACACAACUAAUGAUGAUUGAACUAGUGUAUGAAAUAAAAUAAAACGAUAAAAUCAAACGAACAACCACACAGGACACAAGAUUUACAUGGUUCGGCAAUAUGUCUAUAUCCAUGGGGAGAAAGGAUAAUGUUUUUCUUAUAAAGAUAAGAGCUAAUUAGUGAUACCCCCCGGAAUUCAAGGCAAAAAAAGGAACCCCCCCCCCCCCCCCCCCCCCCCAACUCCAAAAAGAUUUGUGUUACCCCCCCCAAAUUAUUUUCUGGUGAAAAAUAGACUUGAACUGCCAUAAAUACCCUUAUGCCACAUCAGACUUUUAAUUUGACCUAAACCAUUGCUGACGUGGCAUAGAUAAGAUAUUAUGGGCUGGGUUUAGAUAUGGUAUAGAUAAGAUAUUAUGGGCUGGGUUUACGCACAGACCCCUGUGCGUGCAUAUUCACAUAGUACAGAUUAAGUGGACAAGGGCCAAGUGAAGCAAUGGGUUAGCUAAAAGGUGAACAAAAAUGAAGAAAGUAUGCACUAGUCGGGGAUUUCGGGCAACUCUUUUUGUUAUUAGUAUUCCAGGUAUACAGAGAACCUGAAAUUAUGGUAGGUGAGUGUGUCAGUGGUGCAUGACUCUGCUAUGUCAAAAUAGAAACCCAUAGGCACGACUGAUAAGUUCCUAAAAACAAAUACUAAAACAACCCAUAAGUAAUAAUAAGUAAAAAACACACGAUAUUUUUAAAGUAGUAAAAUCCAAUAUGGGAAACGUUCAUGGUUGUUCUCGCGAUAAAAAAUAAUUCUACUAGAUGAAAAAGAUAUACAAACUAGGGAUGAGCACGGUUUGGUCGGUUUUGACCAAAACCGAAGCCAAACAGCCUAACAGGUGUUUUGGAAUAAACACAAUCGAAAUCAAACGUGUUGUUUCCCAAAAUCGAACCGAACCGAUCAAAAUAUGUAAAAACCGAAACCGAACCGAACACGUAGUUCAGUUCGGUUAACCGAAUCAAAACCGAACACCUUUUAAGUUGGGCUGAAUUAACUUGGGCUUAAGUAUAAAGACUAACAUGGGCUGAAUUAACUUGGGCUAAAGUGCUAAACUAAAGACUAAUAUGUUUGGUUCGGUUUUAGGUGUUGAAAAUUUUCUAAAACCGCAACCAAACACCCUAACAGGUGUUUUGUAAAAUUUCAAACACCAGCCAAACACUUAAACACCUAAACACCUUCAAAAGUGUUCAGUUCGGUUGUGUUCGGUUCGGUUCUUCGGUUUUGGUCUGGUUUUGUUUAGCCUUAGUACAAACCUAUCAACUACCUGCAAUCACUGUGAAUUGACACUACUUGUUAUCUCUAACACCUUGACUUCACUAGAGUACCUUGAUGUAAGCACAAGACACUCGACUUCUUGAUGAACACACAAGAAGACUCGAAGCCGAACUAUGAAUAAGUUUACACCAGAGUUCCUUGAUGAACACACAAGGAUACUCGACUUCUUGAUGAACACAGAAGAAGACUCGAAGAUAAAUCACUAUAAAAAAAUAAAGAAAGAUGAAUUGGGGAAGGAUAAAAAAUAGAAUUACACAAGGAUCGAUUGAGGAAGAAGAUGAUCUUUGUGGAAGAGCCGACAAACAAAUUAGGGUUCUAUGGAGGCUAGGUUGGAACUCUUACUUUUCCCAUAACACCAAUGCCAUAUUUAUAAUCUAGGGUAUGUACGUACCUCCUAACAUGGUACGUACAUUCCUGAACAAACUGCAACCUAACAUAGCUUAGAAGGAUGAGAAUGAAGACAUAGGGACGACGCUUACACAUCAAGGUACUUCCUAAUAAUGUCGUCAAGGUGAGAUAAUUCCAGAUACUCCUAACCUAAUCACAAAAUGAUGUCAAACAACCGAAUGUCGGUUUCAUGAACUUGAACUCAGACUUCUACUAGUAUGUCCUAGCCUCCUAGUGAUACCUCAAUGACUGAAUACAUGUAAAAAAUAACUUUGCACUCAAGUUUUGAAGAAAGAAAGUACAUAAAGAUUGAUAUUGUAAGUACCAAACCAUGCUAGGUGGAGUAUUGAGGACACAGGAGCUAGAUAAGGAGAGCAAACUGGGAAGUACCCAAUCGGAGUUCAGAACAUUCUAGAGUAUCACGGAUAAAGCACGUGAUGUCUGGCUGUAAAGCAUUCACUGUAUAGUAUGUGAUGGAGAAUGAAACACGUAGGAGAUAAUAGAACCAUAGGAUGCAAAGGAGGAUCCAACGGUUCAAGGAAGGCGGUGAAUAUUGCUAUAAAAGGAUCACGUUAGGGUUCGCUAAAAGGUAACUGUUCAUUCUUUGCUAAAAACCUAUUCUCUAAACCUAGCCGCUUACUGACUUGAUCGUUGGAGCUUUAUCCACCGGUCAUUGUCCGGUGGUCAUUGCAGGUACUACCGUUGAAGCAGUUGAAGGACCCAGCUGAGCUCAUCAAGGAAAGUGGGCUUACAUUUGGCGCUAGAAGAAGGGCCACUUUGCUGCUUCCAGAUCUAGGGUUUUGGAGAAGAAGGUUGAAAGAAGAAAGUAGAGAGCAAUGGUAACACAAACUAGAUCGUCGACAUAUCUCGGAGGUGUAGCAGCUGGAGAUGUUCCGCAAGUUGUUCAUCCUCAAAAUCUCCAAGAUGGAGACGAAGAUACAAACAGAUUGAGAGAAGAGAACUUGAGACUGAGGGAGCAGAUAAGAAGGAUGGAAGAUAUGGAUCGUCAAAAUCUUCAGGAAGGAGAGAACGAAGCAGUCAGAAAUGAAAACCAUCAGAGACCAUUGGAGAGGGUAAUACUAGGAGAAGGUGAAGGAGGAACAAGGCGUCGGAUUCCGGGCCUAAGAGUGAAUGAAGAAGAAGGGUCAGGAGAAUCAGGGGUAAGAGCUCGCGAAGGGAGUCGAAGGGAAGGGAUGAAUGAUGAAGAGAUCCCGGCGGCAGAUCAAUACACCAGACUUUUCGAUAUGAUAUGCAAGGUCCAAGAGGACAUGAGGGCGCAGAACAAGGGAAAGAACAUGGAGGUGACUCAGGAUCUGGAGAGAUUGGGCAAGAGGCCAUUAGCCGAAGUGUGCUACCGUCACGGGUUCCCAAGUAAGUUUCAACCUCCUAAGUUUAAUGAGUAUGAUGGAACAACUGAUCCUGUGCAGCACUUGAAUAAUUUCAAGCAAAAAAUGGCGGCUUGGGAAGGGAGCCAGUAUGACGGAAUGUGGUGUCGACUGUUCCCUAGCAGCUUGAAGGAUAACGCUACAGACUGGUAUCUCAGCUUAUCACCAGGGAGUGUAUCAAGCUUUGCUCAGCUCAGUGAGAUGUUUGUCAAGCAUUAUAUUCAUCAGAAAAGACAGGCUGCAGAUAUAGCGUCACUAUUUGAUUUGGAACAAGCUCCAGGUGAGUCUCUUAGAAAGUUUGUUACUAACUUUAAAAAUGAGAUUUUGAGAACAGAUGGCGGAGUAGAUGAAAGAACAGCUGUGGUAGCAUUUCAGAAGGGUAUAAAUAAGAAGUCUCCUGCAUAUGACUCGAUUGUGUCAUCACGGAUGGCGACUCUGGAUGAACUUUUCCAGAAGACGGAGAAAUACAUCAGACUAGAGGACAUAGCAUCACGGAGAGCUCCAAAAGUGGUACCGGCAUCCGUUAACUCGGUGGCGGAAAAAAGUAAAAAAGGGAGAAGCUAGCUCACGAAGUGAUUCGCCACCAAGAGAUUCCGGCUCUAGGAGGAACAAAGAUGGAUCGAGAGGUCACGACAAAAGAGAAAGGAGGGAGGAUAGAGAUACUUCACCAAGAAAGUUGAUACCACCGAAACCGCUACCGCAACUCACAAUGUCACUAGAUCAAAUUUUGAAGAGAAUAAGAGGAAGAAAGUACUUCCAGGAGCCGUCGGUAAGAUGUAGAACAGUCAGGGGAAAGCCAUUCUGUGAGUAUCAUCAGACUUACAACCACCCUACUGGAGAUUGUUAUGAGUUCAAAUCCUUGAUAUGGAAAUGGAUGGAGGAGGGCCAUUUGAGAGAGUUUAUAGUGGAAAAGAACAAGGAGGAAGACAAAACAGAAAUUCAAGUCAGAGGGACCGUUAACAUGAUCUUAGAAGGAGCUAGAGAAUCCUUGAACGAGGUCAGGAGGAAGAUAAGAAGAGUGAUGCAGAUAAGAGAAGACUUACAAACAGUCGGAGCCGUUCCAGUCAUGCGAAAUGGCAGACCAGUGCAUCAGAGUGAGUCGAUUGGGUUUUCAGAGGAAGACCUCAAAGGAGUAGUCACACCACACAAUGACCCAUUGGUCAUUUCCAUACUCAUUGGAAAUUGGAAUGUCACGAAAGUGUUAGUAGAUUGUGGAAGUGAGGUAGAUGUUCUGUUCACCAGGGGCUUGGAUCAAAUGAAACUGGAGAGAGGUAGCUUGGCAAAUUCACCUGGAGACAUUUACGGAUUCAAUGGGGGAGCAGUGCGGCCAGUUGGAGAGAUAGUCUUACCGGUUACAGCACACACCAGAACCGUCAUGUCGAGAUUUGUGGUCAUAGAUGCUCCAACAGAGUACAAUGCAAUCUUGGGAAGAGAAUGGAUUCAUCUUAUGAAGGCAAUUCCGUCAAGUUACUAUCAGAAGAUCCGUUUUCCGACUGAAGAUGGACAAUAUGAGAUAAGGAGCAAUCAGGCUAUGGCCAAGAAUUUGAAGAUAGCAACAGUAAAAAGUAUGAGGCAUGGCACAGCAGGUGCUGGGCCGUCAUCUAUCCCUGCAUAGCAACGACAGAAGGAGGGUGACGGGUUCCCGCGUGAAGUGCUAAAGACAGAAGAACAAACGGAACCCGUCAACCUCAAUGAGGUAGGGGAUCAGCGGAUCACCUACAUGGGAACCAACUUGGAUGAGAAGGUGAGGUUUGAUCUUUUACAAUUCUUAAAAGAUAAUAUGGAUGUAUUUGCUUGGUCUAUGAAUGAUAUGACAGGGAUCGAUCCAGACGUAGCAUGUCACAGAUUGAAUGUCAAUCCAAGUUUCAAACCAGUCGCGCAGAAAGUGAGAACAAUAAAACCUACACUGGCAGAGGCAAUAAAACAAGAGAUCGAGAAGAUGGAGUCAGCUGGAAUAACAAGAGAAGUUCAGUAUCCAGAGUGGGUAUCUAACAUAGUGGCGGUUCCGAAGAAAAACGGAAAGGUUCGGAUCUGUAUAGACUUCACAAACUUAAACAAAGCAUGUCCAAAAGAUAGAUACGUCAUGCCAAGGGUGGAUGAGCUAGUGGACAGAACAGCAGGCUUUGGGUUACUGUCAUUCAUGGAUGGCUAUUCCGGCUACAAUCAGAUUCCUCUAUAUGGUCCAGAUCAGGAGAAAACGGCCUUCUAUGCUGGUAAGAAAACUUUAUGUUAUACCAAAAUGCCAUUUGGUUUGAAGAAUGCAGGAGCUACUUAUCAGAGGCUGGUAGAGAUGAUGUUCGAAGAUCAGCUGAGGAAGACGGUAGAAGUAUACAUUGAUGAUAUGUUAGUCAAGUCCAAAGAGCCGGAGGAUCAUCUAAAGGACCUGGGAGAAACCUUCCAGACACUGCGUCAGUUCAAUAUGAAGCUUAAUCCAGAAAAAUGCACUUUUGGAGUACAGUCAGGAAAGUUCCUUGGUUACAUUGUUACCAAGAGAGGAAUAGAGGUUAGUCAAGAGCAGAUCAGGGCACUCACGGACAUGGCGUCACCAAGAACACAGAAAGAAGUGCAAGUACUGGCUGGCCGAAUUACGGCAUUGGGAAGAUUCAUAUCAAGAUCCACAGAUAAAUGCAAGCCAAUUUUGAAGCUCUUGAGAAAGAAUUUAUCUUUUGCUUGGAAUGAUGAAUGUGAAGAAGCCUUCCAGAAGUUGAAAGAAUACUUGAGUAGACCACCAGUUCUGUCAAAGCCAUUUCCGGGGGAGACACUCUAUGUUUAUCUAGCAGUGUCGGACAUUGCAGUAAGUGCGGUCUUGACCAGAAGGGAGGCCUCAAAGGAGAGCCCAGUCUAUUUCCUCAGCAAGAAGAUGACUUCACCAGAGACAAGGUAUUCUAGAGUGAAAAAGUAUGCCCUCGCUUUACUAUUUGCAGCUCAAAGAUUAAGACCUUAUUUCGAAGCUUAUAGUCUGACAGUGGUUUCAAACCUCCCUCUCAAUCAAGUGAUGCCAAAAAUCGAGCGUUCUGGAAGAAUGGAAAAAUGGGCAGUUUCAUUGAGUAAAUAUCACAUUCAGUAUGAGCCCAAGAAGGCGGAAAAAUCACAAGUGCUGGCGGAUUUCUUGGCAGAUUUCCCAGUGGAGGAUGUAAUCAAGGGUGCAGAAAUGCAAGAGGAAGAGCAGCUAGAGUAUCUAGAAGUUCAAGAUACCGGGUGGAAAAGCGUCAAAGGAUGGAAGGUGUUCACCGAUGGGUCAGUAAAUAAAGGAAGAUCAGCAAUCGGGAUAGUAGUGGUAACACCAGAGGACACUAAGAUCGAGAUCGCAGAAAAAUUAGCCUUUCCGGCUACCAAUAAUGAGACAGAAUACGAGGCGGUGCUGAAAGGUUUGGAAGUAUUGCUGAAGUUAGAGGUAAAGGAGGUUACGGUUUUCACAGACUCGAAAUUGGUGGUGGAACAGUUCAAUGGAACAUAUAAAGCUCAGACUGGGAAGAUGAUGUUGUACUUGGAGGCAUUGAAGAGGAGUGUAGCAAAGUUCUCGAAAGUUGAUAUUGUACAUCUGUUUAGGGGAGAGAACCGGCAUGCUGAUGCAUUGGCUUACCUGGCAACGGCAACAGAAGAGAAUUCAACCAAGACUAUAACGUUCAUGCAAAGAUCUCAGCCAAUGAUAGAGGUGAAGGAAGUGACUGUCAACCUCAUUCAAAACUUGGGAGCAAGUUGGAUGGACCCAAUAAUAACCCACUUAAAAGGUGGUUCUCUUCCGAAAGACAAAGCAGAAGCUAGAUCGAUUGUGGAGCAAUCCAAAAGGUAUGCAAUGAUAGGGGAAGACCUGUAUAGGCGAUCACCAACUGGACCGUUAUUGAAGUGUGUACACCCAUCCCAAACAGAAGGAGUCAUGGCGGAAUGUCACAAUGGAAGUUGCGGCAGUCACUCACCGGGACGGGCCAUGGCACACAGGAUAAUGAUUCACGGGCAUUACUGGCCAAGUAUGUAUAAAGAUUGUUGCAACUAUGCUAAGAAAUGUCAUGGUUGUCAGAUUCAUGGGAGACUCAUACAUACCCCAGCUGAAAACCUUCACUUUAUAAGCAAUCCGUGGCCCUUUUCGAUGUGGGGAAUUGAUAUUGUGGGAAAACUGGAGAAGUCACAGGGAAGAGAAUAUUUAAUUGUGGCCACAGAUUACUUUACGAAGUGGAUUGAGGCAGAACCUUUACGAAGGAUCAGGGAGGUAGAUGUCAAAGAUUUUAUCUGGACCAACAUCAUCUGCAGGUUUGGCUUACCAAGGGCUAUAGUAGCAGAUAACGGUGCUCAAUUCCGUGGAGAGGAGUUGAAAAAGUUUCUGGCAAGUUAUAACAUAAAGCAACUCUUCGCAACACCAUUUCACCCACAAGGAAAUGGGCAGGCGGAAGCAUCAAACAAGGCCAUACUGGAGGUACUGAAAAAGAAGCUUGAGGAUAAAAAAGAAAAAUGGUAUGAGAAUCUUUGGGAAGUACUAUGGGCAUACCGGACGACUCCAAGAAGGUCCACAGGGGCAACUCCAUUCUCCCUCACUUAUGGGAUGGAAGCUGUGAUACCACAAGAAAUGUUGGUACAUACGGCUAGAAGAAUGGUGGUCGAUCUAGGGAAGAAUAAUGAGAUAAUAGAGAGAGAGCUGGUCUUAGCUGAGGAGGUCCGGGAGCGCGCCAAGCUCAGAUUGGAGGGCUAUCACCGCCAACUAGAGAGGACAUACAACAAAAGAGUCAAGCCAAGAAGCCUAGUUCCAGGGGAUCUCGUGUUAAGAAAACAGAAUCCGCCUCCAGCCAAACUAGAGCCAAACUGGGAAGGGCCUUUUGUGAUAGACAAGGCGGGAGCGAAUGGAGCAUACUACUUAACCUACCAAGACGGUACCCCUCUUGAUAAGCCAUGGAGUAUCAGCAAUCUAAAGAAAUACUAUGCCUAGAGGGCAAAGAUGUAUUAGAGCAACAACAGUAGACAGUAUGUACCUAGAUUUGUUUGAAUUUCAAUGAAAAUAUAAGAUUUUGUUGUUAUUGACUUAUCUAGUUAUAUAUAUAUAGCACUAUUGUCUGAGACCAGGCCAAAGGUCAGACAUAGAAGAAACCCAACUAAGGUUGGUGGGAAAUAACAUAAGUGUAGACUUGGCAGGGCAAGCCGUUAACUAAAUGUUAAAGUCUCUAUAUGAUUAUUUCUUCCCCAUUGAGUUUGAUUUAGACAAUACAGUGGGGUGCCUCUAAAAGAGAAGAGCAAUAGUGCUAGUGUGUUAACGGGGUUGCACUUGCUGAACCGUGACGACGGGAUCAGUAGAAGUAUAGCCUAAUGUUAGCACAUGAGAAACCAAUGCCAGAAGAUAACAAUAAUUGAUAGCAAUUAUAAAAGUUUGCAAUGUUGGAAGACUUUCGUCAAAAUUAAAAAUUAAUCAAAUUACAACUCAAGGCAAGGAGUCUCGGGUGGAAGCGCUAGGAGGCGUUAUCCGCAUUUUCUUGGCAGAAAGAAUAGCGGUUAAGUUUUCCUUCACUUGAGCCUUCACUUGCAUGGCAAGUUGCUCUUUGAAUUUCGCCUCCAUCUCCUCGUAUUUUGAAUUGUAAUCAGCCAGGAGAGUUUCUCUUUGCUCCCGUAGGUCGGCCAGAUACUGCUGAUAGUCAACAUCAUGAGCGGCUUCGAGUUCAUUUAUUUUCACUAAGCUGUCAGCCCAUUUCCCCUCCAACCUUGCUACCACGGUGGCAUGAGCAGCAUCAAGGGCAGCAAUACGCUCACGGUGCUCACCCUCAAGUGCAGCAAUGUGAUUACGGUGCUCACCCUCAAGUGCAGCAACGCGCUCACGGUGUUCACCCUCAAGCCUUUUCCGGUUCUUCUCGAUUUCAGCAUCACGAGACGCGGUUGUUUCUUUCAGUUGAAUCUUAAGUUGCUCGAUCUCGGCUUGAAGAGCCCAUUUCUCGCGAACUAGUCGAUUCUUAUCCACUGUAAUGUCGUGCUUCUCUUUUACAAGAUUUUCUUUUUCCAGCCUAGAAGCAUUUGAAAAAGACUUGACGACGAGACCGUUAACCUACAAUUCAAUAGAAAAGUUAUAGUCCAAAAAAAAAAAAAAAAAAAAAAAAAAAAAGAGAAGAGGGGAGACUUACGAGAGCUAGACCACGGAAAACUGUAUCUCGGUCCUCACCAAAGUUCAUCUGAUCAAUUUUAGCUUGAUCAGAAGGAAAAAUAGAAUUGUAGAUAGCGGCGAAAGCAGUUGCCCCAUUGUCAAAAGCCGAAGCUGAGGGAUCACGGGGAAGGGGAACGGCUGGAGUCUGGCUUGGAGACUGGGGGGAGGGAGAAUCAGCAAGUACUUUACCGCGAGAAGAGGAGCCAACCUUGUUAGGGUCAAAGGCUGGUACAGACUCUGAAGACGAAAAAGGACCUUGGGAAGUAACACCGGCAGGAGGUGUAGAAGUCUUGUCAGCAGUUGGUGCCGGAUUAAUCUCAGCAUCAAGGGUGGGAGAGAAUUGCUGGCCAUCUGCGGCUUGGUCACCUGAUCCAGAUGAAGAAUAAUUAAGAGUACGAUGGCGGGUAUACCUAGGUGCUUCACGAAUAGGUGCAACAAGUGUAGCAACAUCAAAAAUUUCGUGAUCAACAGGAAGUGGUGGAGGCAUCGCACCAAUAAUAGGGGGCUCAUUUGGAUCAAGGAGAGCCAUGGAAAAUUCCUUAAGGGGAGAAGAUGAAGGAUGAGAAGUUGAACCUGGUUGGGCGAGAUUGUCCAUGCCGGUGUCUUCAAAUAGGAGACCACCAUCAAACCCAAGUUCAUCAAGAUUAAAGGAAACCUUGAUUCCACUAAAGUUUGGUUGUCUGGGUUCUUCCAGAGAGUCGCUGGAGGAAGAAGAAGGGGAUCCCGGUAGUUGAGAAGGAGCUUCUGCCAUUUUGGCCCUUUUCACUCUAGGAAUGGAAGGACCGUGUUGCUUUGAACGCGCCAGGUGAACUUCGGGAGAUUCCGGCAAUGUCUCUGGUUCACCUUGGACUGCCUGAAAAUCAGAACUUUCAGUUGAAGAAGAAGAAAGAUCACGACUACAAUUCCUGACAAUCUUUUGAACUCGAAGAGCAGAUAAGAAAGGGGGAAGUCGGGCAGUUACUCUUUUUUGCUUCUUCUUCUUGGAUGGCGCUGAAACUGCGGAAGGAGGUUCACGGGUUCUCUUUUUAGUUAGGAUCGUCUGAAGAGGGAUAUUAUCUCCACCGUCAUCAGAUUCUCUCUCCAACUCAGUAGCGGCAGCAGCAGAAGCUUUACCCUUCCUUUGUGUUGAUCGGGAAGUAGGAGGAAUAGCAGAAGACCUGCCCUUUUUAUCCCUGAGAUAAUCUUUGUGGCAGCAGACGGGUAAGACGUAUUCCCCUAGAUCAAGAUCCUUAACGAUCGGGGUACCGUCUUUCUUUGAGGAAGUAAGCUCACGAAUGGCGGAAUAAGCGUCAGCUCCAGAUCCUAUCAAAGGUUCCCAAGGGGCGUCUUUGCGGGGUCUUAAGGCUUUGCCGUCACCGCGAACCUCUGGGAUAGAAAACAGAUAAAAGAGUUAGACAGGCACUAUCAAAAGGAUUUUCAUCCUAGGAAUGUUAAUAUAUGAACAAAGUAGAAAAAGUGAGGAAAAAACCUCCUAGAUUAAACCGCCAGUAUUUUAAAGGGUUAGAAAUGCCAGGUCCUUUUCCCCCGAAGUUACCAAAGACAAUCAUAGGAAAGUCAGGCCAUUCCUUGUCACUUUCCGGCAAUUUUUCAAUAAUAGACCGCCUACCGGGGCGUUUGACGAAAUAGUAAUAAGGUUGACCACAUUUUUCUUCGCAAACCCGAAGAUAGUAACAUUGACGUAUAUCAGCAAGGGAAACGGUAGUUCCUUCAUUGUUUAGUUGGUCUAGGGCCCGCAAGAUACGCCAAAAGUUACCAAUACAUUGUCCAGGGGCGACUUGGUAAAAAUUAAGUACAUCACGGACUAAAUCAGAAAAAGGAAACGGGCAACCAAAAGCUAUUUGGUGGGCUGUCACCAUAAUAGCAUCUUGGCGGCUAAAUUCGUGAUGUGCAAAGCGUAGGGCAUGUUUGUAGUUGAAAAUUUUUACAUCUUCAGGAAUGUCGUAUAGUUCACAGAGUAGAUCUAAAUCAGGUCUAUAAGGGUAGGUACUGGGCACAUACGAAUCAAGGUAGUAACUGGAAGGGGAAGGGUGAACACCGCCAUCACCUUGACCUCCUUCAACUGUCUUCCUCGAAGAAUCUUUCUUUUUCUGAUUUUGAUAAGAAGCCAUUUAUGUAUAGAGAAAGGCUCACCAAAAUCGUAGAGAAAGAAAGAUUAGGGGCGUAUACAGGAUGACUCCAAGAGGAGGAAAGGAGAGAAGAAAAAUAAUUUGGAAAUUUACGGCAAUCGAAGUACAGAGUAUAUAGCGAGAAGAAGAAAAAUGAAAACCUAGAUCUAAUAAUGGCUAAAAUUAAAAUCAAGAAUAAGGAGAAGAGAAUAACCUGAAUUAGUCGACGGAGGAAGAAAUAAAGACGAGAAUCGAACUUUCAGGGGACCGGACGGUGCGUGAUUUCGUAGAGAAGAUGAAGACUGAAGAGAAAGAUAAACAGAGGAGGAGAAUGAAGAAGAUGAAAGGCAAAUGGAAGAAUUGGGUUAAAGGUUGUAAAUUUAUAUGAGGAUAAUCCCAGGGGUAUUACGGGAAGAAGUAAAAUAGUGACGAGACAGUAGCAUUGGGAAGCGAAAGGACAGCAGUUAAAAUCAUAAGUGCGUCUGGGUAAGAGCAAAAGAGGCACGCGUAGGAGGUUCGGGACUCGAGAGCAUGCGCAAUUAAUGAAUAGCUGGAGAGAUAGGGAUAAGGCAGAGCCUAAGGCACGUGAGGAGCAGGUGAUAGAUUAAGUAAUGAAAAGAACUUAUGACAGUUUUUCCGUCAUCAUAAGGAGUUUACAUUUAGGCGGAGAAAAAGCCUUUGAGCCGCCAUCUAAGAAAUAUAGAUGACGGUCAAAGGAGGGGCGAUGUAAGUACCAAACCAUGCUAGGUGGAGUAUUGAGGACACAGGAGCUAGAUAAGGAGAGCAAACUGGGAAGUACCCAAUCGGAGUUCAGAACAUUCUAGAGUAUCACGGAUAAAGCACGUGAUGUCUGGCUGUAAAGCAUUCACUGUAUAGUAUGUGAUGGAGAAUGAAACACGUAGGAGAUAAUAGAACCAUAGGAUGCAAAGGAGGAUCCAACGGUUCAAGGAAGGCGGUGAAUAUUGCUAUAAAAGGAUCACGUUAGGGUUCGCUAAAAGGUAACUGUUCAUUCUUUGCUAAAAACCUAUUCUCUAAACCUAGCCGCUUACUGACUUGAUCGUUGGAGCUUUAUCCACCGGUCAUUGUCCGGUGGUCAUUGCAGGUACUACCGUUGAAGCAGUUGAAGGACCCAGCUGAGCUCAUCAAGGAAAGUGGGCUUACAGAUAUAAUGAGAAAAGUGGAGAGGAUUUAGUUUUACUUACAAGUUACUCUGAAUGCUUCAAGAAAAUUCAAGUACACAAUUUGGCUUUCGAGCAAGCAGUUGUAAUUGUUUAAUCUCUCUUUCUGGCAGUUCUCCAGGAUAUAGCUUAGAGUUAAAAUAAACCCUUGUUGUUAGUUUGAUAGUCAGUUUAUCCAAUACUCUUGCACUUUUUAUCAAAAAUUUAACAAACCACAUCUUCUCCGCUGUCCAUCUAAAAUGCUGGAUCUCAACUAACUUCAAGUGUGACAAGAAACAUUUUGGAGUUGUUCCCAUUAUUUGAACUUAUCCUUUAAAUUGGAUCGAACUAAGUCCCUAUAUAGGAAACAUAAUUAGAAGCUUUAAAAUGAAACUGACAUGAAAAAGUUUCUUUUCAAAGCCGAAAAGAACACAAAGGAAAAUUAUGGACUUACAUCGGGAACGGAAAUAGAUUCGAUAUUAGGCAUGUUACAGAGUAAAUCUAUGAAUGUUCUACCAUUUGCCUCCGUUUUGUACCACACAGUCAGAUGGAUCAAGCGGGAAAGUGCAAGUAAAUGGAUUGAGUGGUUCGGACAGGCGAGGGCCUAGAUAUAUCAAAUAGUACUUCUGAUAAAAAAGGUAACCCCUGAACUUCAACGAUACAAAAGUACAAGACUCUGCAUAAAUCCUUAUCGCACAAGAAUUUAAAACAUCAGUCCCCCCAUCCCCUAUUUUUAGCAGAAAUGGUAACACUCUUGAUCUUUGACCAUACACAGUAAUCUAGGAAAAAUUCAUCUAGGAUAGACAACUUAAAGAAAUUUCCUGUAUUGAUUGAUCUCCAAAAAAUGCAAUCUAAGAUGCAGGACCUUAAGGCUUGAAAAACAAACCAAAGCGGGUAUCUUCAUCGAGACACUCAUUUCAAUUUCAAUAUCCUCAAUGAUUUAUAAGUAAAAUGCAAUCUGAAAACCGAAAGGGACAUUCCUUAAAAAAUUGAGAUAUUUAGUUCUUGAACUUUACGCCUCAUUGCCUCAUAGAGAUCCAUUCAUUGAAGUGAGUUGCAUCACACUCCUUACAUUUGAGGUUGCACCUAGCAUAUAUUUGAAAUAUCAUUGCAACGAAGCACUUUGUCUACAAACUCACUAAAGAUUCCCUUUGUUUUCCUAUAAUUUGGACUCUUGCUCGAGUCGUUAUACAAAUGUUCAUCACAAAAAUCAAGAUUGUGGAUGAACUUCCAAAAGGCCAUUCCAUCUUGUUGAUAAUACACUAGUACCCAGUGGCGGCCCUGAGGGCAUGCCCAAGAAGCUUUUGAUUGGGGCCAACCAAUUUUUAAAGAAAAAGUGCACUAAAUCUUUACUCAACAUGUAUAUAAUUAUUUAUAGACCACAAUAUUGUCAUAAUUAAUUUGGUAGAUUUACUGGUAGCAACACUAUACCCUACUAAAAAUGCCCUAAGACCAAUUCUUAAGUACUAUUUUUUUAAGAAUUUUUUUUUUCCACAAAAAUUAUUUUCUUAUGUGUUUAGAAGUAGGGGUGUUAAACGAGGCGAACGAGCCAAGCUUUGGUAUGUUCAAACUUGAGCCAAGCUUUUAACAAGCCGAGCCCAAGCUUUUCGGUUCGUUUAACGACCUUAUUUAAAAGAAAUGUAGCUACACAUGUGGGUCAUCUAUGUUUAAAUUUGAAUUGGCCACCUAAAACUCAGGGCCGGCCCUGCUAGUACCCAACAACAUAUUUAGUAGGAAGAAAGGAGAGGAUGUAAUGCAGAAUCCAGAAUGUGUUCAGGUAAAUUGUUAAUUCUAUCGAUCUCACCAUUGCACUGUUGUUUAGAUAGUUUUUGCUUUUUAGAAUUUUUUGCAGAAGCACUUGUUUCCAUGACUAAGGUUCCAACCAGAAGCUAUACUGGAAUAUCUAAGAACAGACGAACUUAUGAUUGAUGAACAAUAGUGUAUGCUUAAUGCAUAAAAGGAAAAGGCACAAACAUUGCAGAUAUCUCUCUGUUUUACUGAUCGAAUCAACUCACUCUCUUGACAGCACUAGUAGCACACGCGAAAAAGUCGGUCGAUCUCUUUUGGUCCUCUUUGGCUGUGUCCAAGUGAAACUCAAGAAUGAAGCAGAUAGGUUCCAGUCGAAGGCAUUCAGCGAUGGGAUUGAGAAGAUAUGGAAGAAGAUUCAGUGAUCCCAGCAGGGUCAAUCUCAUAGGGGAAGUCAACUAGUGCGGGAUAUAAGAAAAUAAUUAUAAAAUAAGAUGACACCUCAAAAAGGAAGAAUUACAUUAUUUUAGUAAGGAAAAUAGGCAUUACUUUCUAAAUAAAACAUUGCGUUGUAACUAUGAGAGAGUCUUUUCUCUCUCUCUUCUUUUAAGUUUUCUCUAUCUGAAUGUCGAAGACAUAUUACUUAUUUAUCAAGAAUGUUUCUAAAUUGAUAUGUACAAUUAUUAUAUAUUUGCCAAGAUGUUCUACAUUUCUAAGAUUUCCAUAUUACUGAAUAAAUAAUCAAAUGUUAGGUUGAACUCCAAGUUAAUUAAUUAAUUCCACAAUGUAGAACAAGAUAAUUAUAUUUUAAAUAAAUAAAUAAAUGUAGCAAACAAAAAUAAUCAAGCUGUUUUCCUUUUAAUAGCAACAAAACUGUAUCAACGAACCAUCUUUAGAGUUAGAGUAUCAAUGAACAAGGUAAUCUAAAAUUAUCAUUUCAUAUAUAAAUUGAAUUAUCAAUUAGGGUUAGAGUUCAUUAUUAGUGGCAAAAAAAGGUUAGAGUUCAUUAAACUUUAGAACAUUUCGUCAUGUGAUGUGAUAUAUUGGUUUCAAGAGUUAUCUACAAAUCCUCCAUUCGUUAAUAUUGUAGAUGAUAUACAGUAGAACCUCUUUAAAUUAAUACUCGAUUCGUUAAUCUCUCUAAGUUAAUGAAAUUCUCUAGUCCCGAUUUACAUCGUAAGUAGCUAAAUCAACACUCGGUAAGUUAAUAAAUUUUAAUAAAAUUGCAUAGGUCCGAUGCUAUUAAUUUAAAGAGGCUCUACUGUAUAAUUCAAUCUAUCUCACUUAUUGAGAAAAGUGAAAACAUUGGAGGUAUGAAGAAGUAAAGUGAAGAACUACAGUAAAAUUAAUAAUAAUGAAUAAUCUCAGCCCUUGUAGAAAUUAAAGCAACUUUAGGUUAGCUGUAGACAAGAUAGAUAUGGACGAAGUGAUUCUCAUUAUUCACUUCUUUGUUCUCUAUACAUAGCUUAGCCAAACAUAACAUGUACAUAGGAAAAAGAGGUGUAUUCACUUGUUAUUUCUCUAAGUACCACAUACAGUAUAUAUAUAGGCAUCACAAAGUCAAUCACUUGUGCUUAGCUAACAUAGGUGAGUGCCACCUAGCAUCCUUUUCUGACACAUCAAUUUGAUGACUAAUCAAGUAUCACUGAUGGUCUACCUAAUCACCUGGAUUAAGAGUGUGGGCUUGGAUUUGGACAUCCACUAUUUACAACACUCCCCCUUGGAUGUACAAUAUCCACCAUAUCAAGAUAUUGCCUCAUAAAACCUUGCUAGGAAAAUCCAGUGGGAAAAAACCAUGGCAAAGGAAAAAAAGUACAAUAAUUGAUUUCUUGAUUGGUGUUGGAUGCACUAUAUACUGCCUCGUUAAAACCUUGCUACGAAAACCCAGUGGAAAAAACCGUAGCUAAGGAAAAAUAGUACAGUGCGCUUAAUGUCCUGGUGGCUCCCCCUGAAGACAACUCCCCCUGAUGAAGAUUAGACUAAGCUCGACUUUCGGCGAAUCCCAAUGUCAUAUGCCAGUUUCUUAAAAGUUGAUGGAGGUAGUGACUUAGUGAACAAAUCAAAGAGAUUCUCAUCAGACCAUAUCUUCUGGACAUUGAUCUCAUUACUCUUCUAUAGUUCAUGAGAGAAAAAGAAUUUUGGAGAAAUAUGUUUUGUUCUAUCACUUCUGAUGUAGCCUUCCCUGAUUUGAUCAGUAGAUGCAGCAUUGGUUGUGGUUGAUGAUACAUCAUAUCUAAACAACAUGCGGGCUCCCCUCAGUUACAGAAACACUAACAGUGAUUUGUUUGGAAGAUCACCAAGAAAUUGUUGUACCACCAUAAGUAAAUACAUACCCGGUUUGCGAUCUUUCUUUGUAUGGGUCAGAUCUAUAUCCUGCAUCUGCAUACCCCUUUAGUUAGGAGCCAUUUGGUGGUUCUCUUGAAUAUUAUAAACCCAUAUCAGCCUCGAAAGUAACGCAUAAUCUCUUUUAAGCCAGUCCAAUGGCGUUGGGUUGGAGCUGACCUAAACCUGGCUAACAAAUUCACUGCAAAUGAAAUGUCAGGUCUAGUACAUUGGACUAAAUAUAAAAGAGCACCCUUAACACUCAAGUAUGGUACUUAAGGAGUAAGUAAAGAUUCGUUCUCCUCUUUAGGACGAAAUGGGUCUACCUUCACAUCAAGUGACCUUACGACCAUUGGAGUGCAAUUUGGCAACAUUUGUCCAUGUUAAAACGAUUUAAAACUUUUUUAGUAUACGUUGACUGAUGGACAAAUAUUCCAUGUGUUGUAUGUUCGAUCUGCAGGUCGAGACAAUACUUUGUUUUCUUGAGAUCUUUCAUCUCGAACUCAUUCUUUAAAUAGUUUGCAGCUUUGGCAAUCUCUUCAGGAGAUCCAAUUUUAUUUAUGUCAUCUCUUAAUCUUAAUAGAGUACAUAUGACAUGGUUUUGCUUCAGGCAGUUAGUUUGCAUCUUUAGCAAUCUCUUCAUGAGAUCUAAUUCUAUUUAUGUCAUCUCUUAAUCUUAAUACAUAUGACGUGGUUUUGUUUUAGGCAAUUUUUAUCCUUCAGGGACUUUCAUAUAAAUAUCAGUAUUUAACAUUUCAUAAAGAUACGCAGUAACCACGUUCAUGAGAUGCAUGUCGAGUCUUUUAAAGACCGCCAGACUAAUUAAGAAUCGAAACGUAAUGACAUCCAUCACAAGAAAAUAUGUCUCUUCAUAAUCAAUCCCGGGUUUUUGCGAGAAAUCUUGUGCCACGAGACGAGCUUUAUACCUCACAAUCUCAUUUUUCUCAUUGUGUUUCCUUAUAAAUGCCCAUUUGUAACCUACAAGGUUAACAUUCUUGGGGGUUAGGAAACACAUUUGUUUUGCAAGAGAAUCUAAUUUUGUUUGAAUUGCAUCCUUCCAUUUUGGCCAAUCAUGUCGUUGUCGACUAGGGCUGGCAAUGGUACGGGUUAGACCCGAAACCCGGUCCGAUCCGUACCGAUAAGAAUAGGUUUGGUAUUGCAUUUUUAUGUAUUGGUACGGGUCUGGUUCUUCAAAUUAGGACCCGAUUGUUAUCGGAUCGGGUUUGGAAUUAGUAGAUACCGAACCGAUAUGGACCCGAUAUAAAUUAUUUUGAGGUUUUGAAUAUUUUAGAUUCACUACCAUUAUUAACAUAUCAUAAAAAUCCUAAAUUCUAGAAAUUUGAUUAUUGUAAAUAAAUGUUUUAAUACUAAUUACCUUAUAAUUAUAUGCAAUUACAUUAAAAACAUAGAAAUAAAUAAAAUCAUAUACCAUAUUUGUAUACUUGAUUAUAUAUAUUUACUAAAUAUAUCUAUCUAGAUUCUUAAAAAGUAACUCAUUUUUUCUAAAUUUGUAUACAUGACAUAUCAAUUUAUGGUCAAAAUACCCGAAUCCAACUCGGAUCCGAUCCAAUAAGAUUUGGUAUGGGUAUGGUUCCUUACUUUCGGACCCGAUAGGGUCUGGUUCCGGGUCCAGGAUUAUUAGUUUUCUUAUUGGUUCGGGUAUGGUAUUUCUAAUAUCCGGUCUGAAUCGGUCCAUUGCCAGCCCUAUUAUCGACAUUCCUCAACAGUAUGUGUAUCAAGACCAUCAUCAUCUGCUGCAAUCUCAGCAGCUACGGCAAAGGAGAAUACGUCAUCGAUGACAAUUUUAUUUCUAUUCCACAACUCUCUUGUGUAUGCAUAAACUACAGAAAUUUCAUCAUUUUCAGGUACCUGAGCCAUAUCUGGGGCUUGUGUUAGUUCUGGGACAACCACUUUGGGGGCUUGUGUCAUUUCAGGGGUUUAUGUCACUUCAGGGACGACCACUUAGGAGCUUAUUUCGCUUCAGGGAUGGCCACUUCGGGGGAUUGUGUCACUCUAGGGACACAUUCCUCUUCAAGAGGUUUUUGUUUAGAGAGAGUGUGUUUUCCUUGCCUUAUAGCCUCUUUAGGAGCGCUAUUUACUGGAGGUUUUGUUUGACUUUUCCUCUUCCAGGGAUUUGAGUCCUUUGACCCAAUAGGUCGUCCACGCUUCUGGCGUACUUUAGACGAUUUCAUUUGCUGCCACAUUUGUGGGAUUUCCUUCAGGGACAUGUCAUCCUUCAGGGACAAAUCGUCCUUCUGGGACUUUAAUUCUCGCAGGCGCAUUAACAACUGCUAUAUUUUAUCUUAUCACUCUUGCAAGUCAAUUUAGGCGCUUCUUCAGGAAGCCACAAAUAUUUACACCGUUCUACAGUAACGGUACUUCUUCAGGAAGUGCUUCUUCAGGAAAUCGUAAAUAUUCACGCUGUUCUUCAGGAACAGAUGUAUUUUCUCCCCCUAACGGCGGGAAAACUGUCUCAUCAACGUGACAAUCUGCAAAUCUAGCGAUACGAACAUCAUAUGUCAAUGGUUCAAGAUAUCUAACAAUAGUUAGAGAAUCAAAACCAACCCAAAAAAUUCUAGACUACGAGACAUAUAACUUUACUAUCCGCAAGAUGAUUAUACAUGCUAUAUGCAUAUCCCUUCACAAUACAAGGAAAAUAUUUAAGUAUACUAUUAGAAACGAAUUUCAAAUAGUAAAACAAUGUAUAUGAGGAUUAUUUGACCAAAUAAAGUUAGAACUUCCGGUUCUUAAUUAAUGGAUUAAAACUUCAAGUCUAAUCAAAGAUGUGAGACUUCAGGCUUGAUCACUAACAAAUAAAAACUUUAGAUUCUUGGUCAAAAUCAAAUAUUUGAAACUUCCGGCUCACUGAGGAUUUUCUCGUUUUAUAAAGACUUCAGGCGUCAACAUCAUUUAUAAAAUAUGAUCAUUAGACUUCGAGUCUUGAUCUAAUCAUACAUAACUUCAAGUUCUUGGAGCUUUAAGCCCAAAUAAAAAUUAAAUUUGAUGUUGAGCUUCUGGUUCAUUAUGGAACACAUCAAUAUCACUAUGAAAUAAAUGGUUAGAACCAAUAAUUUCAAUUUAAAAAAUCAAAUACUUACUCAAUACUUACACCGGUAGUAGUGUAGUAGUUUAAUAUUGUAGUUCUUGUCUAUGUACUUCUUGAACAAUAGAGCAAUCUCGUGCUGAUAACGUCGUAAAAAUUAAAGCAACUUCAGGUUAGCUAGUUGUAGACAAGAUAGAUAUGGACGGAGUGAUUCUCAUUAUUCACUUCUUUGUUCUCUGUACAUAGCUUAGCCAAACAUAACAUGUACAUAGGAAAGAGAGGUGUAUUCACUUGUUAUUUCUCUAAGUACCACAUGCAGUAUAUAUAUCUAUAUAAUAUUACAAGGCGGUCUCAUAAACACAGCCGUUAGAUGCCUAUUAGGACAACCACAACCAUUGGAUGUAGAAUAAUUUAUAUAAUCGAUGUAAUAAGUUGUAAUAAUAGCCUUAGAUGUCCAAAAUUCGAUCUUAACCAUUAGUUGUCUAUUGAGACAAUCGUAGCCAUAUGAUUAAGAGUUUUAAUUGCUAUCACAUUAAAUUUCAGAAAUAUAACCUAUAGAUUAAUUAAUAAUACUAAAUAACCAAUAAUUAUGAGACAUGGGCAAUUAAAAUUAUUGUAAAUUAAUUAAUAAUACUAAAUAACCAAUAUUUAUGAGACAUGGACAAUUAAAAUCAUUGUAAAUUUAUUUUUAAAAUAAUAAUAAAAAUAUUGAAACCAAUGAAUCUUUGGUGUAUAAGGAUUUAGAUGUUCAAAAUUCGAUCUUAACCGUUAGUUGUCUAUUGAGAGAAUCAUAGCCAUAGGAUUAAGAGUCUUAAUUGCUAACACAUUAUCUUGUGGAUUAAUUAAGGCUCCAGAUUUUGCCAAAGAAAAAAAUGUUUUUGCCAAUGAUUAAUUCUUGGUAUUACAUAAUUGCCCUCAAUUAGUUUAAUUUAAAAUUUAACUAUUUAGUAUUCACAAAAUCUUGGAGAAAUCUAUUAAUGCUUUGCCCAUAUAAGGAUCAUACAGAAAUUUUGUAAUUAAAUUUUUUUAUUUUAAAUCCCCAAUUUUGAAUUUAUAUUUAUUUAAAAUACUUAAAAAAUAGUUUUUUAUGUAAAAGUUUAAUAAAUAGAAAAUGAAAAAGAUUCACUUUCAUUAUUGAUUGGUUUAAUCAAAAUUUUGAUAUGUAAUUAGAAAAGAAGAAUCAAACAAUUUUAGUGAAUCAAGAGAUUUGAUUUAACAGAUAUUUUGAUUUUUAAGAAUCUAAAUUCUAAAAAAAUGAAAAGUGGUUUUUGAACAACAAUUGUCAUAUUUAUGGUAAAACAAUUGAGGGUAAUUGUGUCAUAUCAAAAAGUUAUCAUUGGCAAGAUUAAUUUAAUUGAACCAUUAAAUUGCAAAUGUUUACUUACAUAUUAGCAAGAUUAAUUUAAUUAAAAUUUUGUAAUUAAAUUUUUUAUUUUAAAUCUCUAAUUUUGGAUUUAUAUUUAUUCAAAAUACUUAAAAAAUAGUUUUUGAUGUAAAAGUUUAAUAAAUAGAAAAUGAAAAAAGAUUCACUUUCAUUAUUGAUUGGUUUAAUCAAAAUUUUGAUAUGUAAUUGGGAAGAGAAGAAUCAAACAAUUUUAGUGAAUCAAGAGAUUUGAUUUAACAGAUAUUUUGAUUUUUAAGAAUUUAAAUUCUAAAAUAUGAAAAAUAGUUUUUGAACAACAAUUGUCAUAUUUAUGGUAAAACAAUUGAGGGCAAUUGUGUCAUAUUAAAAAGAUAUUAUUGGUAAAAUUAAUUUAAUUGAACUCACUAAAUUGAAAAUGCUUACUUACAAUGACAACUAAAUACUCGAAAACUAUUGUUGUAGGUUAUUUAAACUUUCUUACAAUAAUGGUGUUGACUAAACAAGAUAAAAUCCAACAAUAUCUAGAUGCAGGGUAUAAUGGACCACUGGAAGCAGCUAUGCGCUUAUUGGAAAUAUACUACCUAUAGAGAGACCGAAAGUGCAACGAUUACACCUCCAUCUUAUUGGAAUGCACCGUCUUCUUUUUAAUCCUAAUGAAUCAAAGAAAGCUAUUUUUAAAAGGGCUCAAAAUAAGAAAUCUACUCUAACUGCCUUUUGUUUAUUGUUGUGAUGCAGAUGCUUAUUCAAGGGAACUAACAUAUCAAGAGUUCUCUCAACAUUAUGUCUAGAACAAUGAAGAUUCUAAGUGGACAAGAAAAAAAUAUAGAUUUGCCAUUAGUAGAAUGUAUUUUACAAGUCCUAAUUUAAGUGAAAAAUUCUAUUUGUGGUUGUUGGUUACGAUUGUUAAAAGGUCUUGCACUUUUAAUGAUCUUAAAAUAUAUGACAAUUAUUUAUUUAAUACGUUUAAAAAAGCAUGUGUUGCACGUGGUCUGUUUGAGGAUGAUCAAGGAUACGUAGAAUGUUUAGAAGAGAUUACUCUUAUGGAAAUGUCACACGUUCAAAUUUUUUCCCGAUUGCAGGAAAAUAACACAAGCAUUAAAGCUUAGGAUUGCAUAAGGAGGGUAUGAGAUCCAAGUCUCUACUGAGUACAUUAUGCCACUAUUUUCCAUUCCUCCUAUAGUGGUUGGUAGUGAGACCACUGCUAAACUCUUGGUCACAAAAAUUGGUUGUGAAUGCAGUUGGAGUUGUUCUAUAUUAUCUUUUAGUAAUGUUUGAAUGUUUGUCACAUCUAUGUCUACUGUUUUGGUAAAUAAAUACUCAAUAUAUUUCAAUUAAUUAAGGGAAAGAUACUAUCACUACAAAAGAAUUUAGUUAUUCUAACUGGUAGUAGUUUUCCAUGUUUUGCACUGUACGUAAUUCAAACAAUGGGUCUUGGGAGAGAAAAUGACAACUGUAAUCAAUUUCAAAGUAUUAUGAUUUGGAAAGAGAUAUUUAAAACGUUUACUUAAAUGCUUACACACCAUUCUCUACCCCUCCAUAUGUUCUUCUAUGUGUUAAGAACUCAUACCAAAAAAAUAAAAAUAAAAAAAUACACAACUAAAAUGGAUGCUACCUAUAACUCUUAAAAGAAAGAAAAUGGCUAGAGAAAAAUUUUCAUAUGUUUAAUAUUUGUCUGCAAUCAAAGAUGGAGUGAAAUAAAUACAUAUUUGAAGCAAUUGAAUGAUAUUGGUAAAGUUCAAUAUAUAUGUAAUAUAUGCAACUAUUAUAUCCAAAAGCUCAUUAGGAUAAAAACUAAAGCCAAACGUGUUAUUGUUAUUCUUGAUCAAAGUAAAAGAUAUAUCAACUACAAUAAACACAAAAAUAAAUUAGUUGGAUGCAACAAAUAAAAAAUAUUAAAUCAAAAUUUAAGAUAAAUAUUUAAUAAAAAUUAUAGAAAAAAAAAUUAAAAUAAUAAUAAUUAAAAUAAUCGUGCCUUAGGCACAAGUUAUAACUAGUAAUACAUAUAUAUAUAUAAAUAAUAAUCUACAAAGGGUGCAUAAUUUGACUAGGACUAAUUUAUAUGACUAGGAUUAAUUUCUAUGACUGGGAUUAAUAUUUAGUAUGAUUAGGACUAAUCUACAAAGGGUGCAUAAUUUGACUAGGACUAAUUUAUAUGACUAGGAUUAAUUUCUAUGACUGGGAUUAAUAUUUAGUAUGAUUAGGACUAAUAUCUAUGAUUAAGUCUGAUUAGGACUAAUACACCCAAAACCUUAAUCGUCAAGUCAGUUUGCUAAACCUUAAUCUCUUCCAUCAUCAUCAUCGUCCUCUUUUAACCAGAAGAAAAAACUAAAACAAAAGUGAAAACGAUCUGCAAAUCCCUACUCACACAAUUGAGCACUAAAUAAGGAUUUGAGGGAUUUUGCUUCCUUACAACACCCUCGAAUUGAGUUUGCUUUGCUUCCUUUAUAAUACUCAAAUCACCCAAAACCGAGCUUGACUUAUUAUGGAGUCUGUUUUGUUUGUAGGAAAUUCGUUAGUUAUGAUUUUUAGGUGGUUCUAAAUUCUGCUGAAUUUUUUUUGAAUUUUUCUGUUUGGAUUUUGAAUUUUUAAUCGUCCAACAGCAUCAAGUUCUUCUUAAUCUGUUUGAAUUCAAGCCCAACAACAUCAAGUUCUUAUUUGGACAAUUGUUCUUAUUUUGCAGUCAAUUCAAUUCUAUAUAAACUGAACUAUUAGUUUUGAUCCUGUAUUACAAUCACAAUUAUUGACUGUAAAUAAUGUGAAUAAGUUGCAGAAUACUUGAAUGAGGAUUAAUUUUAAUACUGUAAAACAAUUCAAUUCUUUUAGGCACAUUGAGACCAAGGACGAAAAACAAAGUUAAUGAAUGAUGGAGUAAUUUAUGUAGUGUAGCUAGGUAGCUUGGGUUAGGAGACAUGUCUGUCCCUCUCUUCAAGUACUCCUGCAUUUGCACUGCAGUUAAAUUAUGCCCGUCCAUCGCAAUGAAUUCUUCAGCUGUCAUCCCAAUCUUAUUACUUUUAAAGUUUCAAUGUCUUAGGAACAUCUCAUGACAUUAUAGCAUAAUGAAACUUUAAUAGUUAUCACUAAAAUACACUCCAAAUUUUGUGUCUAGAGUUGCUUUGCUGCAUCUCAAACUAAUAUGCUAUGCUGUCAUAUCAGUUAUUCGUGUUCAUGUAUUCAGCAUUGGAUGUCUUACAGUGAUCUUCAUUCAUUAAGCAAAACUAAAAAUUCAUCGUAUUAGUAACCAAAAUCAUGUCGACACCUUCUUAGCGAAAUCACUUAUAUAGAAAACUAGAACUAAUGUUAUGGUAUUAUUAGGAGCCCCAAGGAAAAUGAUGUAGUCUGAAACCAUUUGAAUGGGGGAGUGUAUAGAGAGAGCUUUGUCAGAUUUGUACUACCUCUUCCUUGGUAGUAUACUAGCCAUAGCUUUCCUGAUUUUGUUUUCUCCUUAUUUUCCGGCCUCCAUGUGAAAUGUGCAUUGCCUAAUAACAAUGAUGCUUUCUUAAAACAAUAAUAUAAGCUGACACGGGUAUAGGUUUCUUCUACAGACAAACUGAAGUGAUGAGGGAAUUUUAAGUUAAUUAAAUGAGUACGGGACUAGAAACUAAUCUAAUGUAUUUUUAAGAAAAAACAAUGAUGUAUGAAAAAUUAAAAAUUAAUAAAUUAGAAUUAAAUAAUAUCAAGCUAAAUUAAUCAAAAAGACAAAGGAAAGUUUGCUGAAAGUGUAUCUAGAGCCGGUCAUAAUCUGAAGAGGGUGGACUUCGACUCUGACGUUAGCCUUACGUCGGUGACCCAAAAUAUAAUAGCAGACAAGUUUUGAAAACCAGAAGAACAAGCUAAAAUCCAGUGUAGACAAUAAUUAACACCUCACAAUGAAUUUUGUAAGAAAUAUUCAAUUUGAUUAAGUACUUUAACUAAUAUGGCAUAUGCUUGGAAUUUAAAUUUUAAACAAUGUCAAAUGGAGCCUAAAAAGUAAAUGGGAUUUGGAUUUAUACAUAUUGUCUCCUUCAUUCCUUCGAAUGUUUUCGUAGUUGAGUAUCCUUCUAGAUACUAUGUUGAGGUUAAUACCUUUAUUUUCACUUUUUAGCAUACAAUUUUGAUCUAUAUUAUCAUACAAACACAAAAAAAUUGUUUUUUCGUUUAAUGUUAGCAGUUUUGUUUUGUUUCCCUGUUUUACUAACUAAGAAAGUUUUAUUUCAACUACUGUUGAAAUCCUAAAACGUUAGCUUGACACUUUCCCCAUUGUUUUGCCCUUCCCAGUAUUCCACUUAUAAUGCUCCCCCGAGCUGACUUCUUUUAUAUCUACAUUGUCUGACAGAGAAAGAACAAUGGGUACAAAAGCCUUCUUCUGAUGAGUCUGUCAUGUGUAACAACUCCAUCCAGAAAUGCCUAGGCUGAUUUGAUAUUGAAGUUUCCACCUAGACUAAGAGCCGAUAUGAUUUUAAAGAUUUAAGUUUGGAUUAUACAUGUUAAGAUCUAAUUAUAGAGUACUUGAGGAGCUGGUGAUAGUUCAUUGUAGUUGUAGGCAUUCUAGAACUUUGUUGGCUAAGUGCAUAGCACAAAAUAUCGCGACAAUUAUAGUGUGACAAGUUUGACCAUUUUGAGAAACUACAAUUUUGUUUAGAAAGAACUUAGUCAAUAUUACUUGAAUGGGAACAAAAUUAGCCCAUUUUAAUUUAGGUACUUAGAAACACUGAAACAGAACACAAACUUGACAAAUUGAUGCAUUAGCUUGAUUUUUCUGGAAGGAACAUUAAUUAGCAUGGGCACUCCAUAUAACUAGGAAAUAUUAUGUGAGUGAAAAAGCAAAAGAAUAAAUUAGCAUAUAUAAUCCAUUUACGUUUUUAUACAGUAAAUGCAGAGAUAAUAUUAAUUGAUAUCUACAUUAAUAAGGAAGAAAAUGCAAAAGGAUAAUGUUCAGAAGAAUAAUGUUAUCAUAUUCCUUGGUAUGAUAAAUAUGGAUUAAGAAUAGAAAUUUGUUGAAGCCAAAUAUGCAUGUUUCGCCAACUAGCUUAUAAAAAUAUUGAAAUAAUUAGAGAUAUUUUGCAUGCAAUUUGAUUAGCAAGGACAAGUGAGCGUUACGCCUUUUCCAAUAACAAAUCUGAAGACCCUUUCAAUAAAAAUAUAAUAGCCUAAAUACCAAUCGAAUAAUACGUCGUCCAAUGACUUGGCAGGUAAUGUUACUUUCCAGAUGUGAGGCUAAUGGAACUGUGCACUUGGGAAUCCUCCAAGAAUGGUUUGGAAUACAUUGGUGGAACUCCCGAGCUUUCACUUUGUUCUGCACUAUCAUAUUUAUCAUGCUUUUGAGAUUAUUUGAGAUUAUGGUACAAAAACUUUUUUGUUCAUUCUUAUAUUUAUAGUUGUGGUUUUUUCUUAAUGGUUAUGAGAAGUACAAAACAUUAUUGAGAGGGCAUUGAUAGUAAAGGGGUAUACAGUACUUCUUGGAAGUUAAUUAUAUGCAAACUAGAUUUAUGUGAAAUUGUUGUUUGCUAUACAGGUAAACUAUGGUUCCAAACAAUUAUUCGAGACUCUGCCAGUGGCCACAGGAGGACUCUAUUGAAUUGGGAACCAGUUCAAAAUAUAAGCUUUUGUUACAGAUUCGUGUUCUCAAAUGAUGCUUCAUCUCCAUGACGUGUAUGAUACAAAGUCUCAAUAAGGUUAAGCAUUUGCCAACUCUACAGUAUUUCUAUAUGACCGUGGAUCUCCAUGUUCAUUUUUGUAACUUAUCGAUUAAUCUCACUUUCUACUUUAAUCGAUAAAUAUAAAAAUAAAAAUUGUUUACGGGUCACCAUGUGGAGAAGUAGAGGUAGAAUCUAAGCAUACUCAAGCUAGCUGGGUUGUGUUAGUAGCUUAAGUAUGAUCCAAAUCUAUUUUCUGUACUAUGACAUGAGCUGAUAGCUUAGCUUUUGAUGUUAUUGCACUUGAAUAACAUUAACUUUUGAUAGUUAGUAGCAAUUGAACUAUGACAUGAGCCGCUUGAAUGAGGCUGAAGCCUUUGAAGCUUGGGUUUUAGAUAGGGCUGGCAAAGUGACCCGAGACCCGUUAACCCGACACGAACCCGACCCGAUAUAAACAGGUUUGGGUUUAGCCUUAUCGGGUUGGCGGGUCAUUUUGACCCGAACCUGUUAACCUGUUUAAUAUACAGGUCGGGUUCAGGUCUGAAUAUUAACAGGUCGGGUCAGACCCGAAACCCGUUAGAAAACCCUAAGUAUAAAAUAGAAAAAUACCAAUACCCUAUCUAUCCUUGUUAUUUUCUUCUUGGCCGCCACCAUGAACAAACCAGUGAACCACCAUUAACGUCUGUUCUUCUUCAUGUAAAAUGGCAGCAUAUCAUUCAUCAUCAACUCUUCUUCCUUUAGAAGUUGAAAUCAAGAUUUCUUCAGCUAAUGAUCUUAAAAAUGUUAAUUGGAAACAUGGUGAUCUCAAAUCGUAUGUUGUUGUUUGGGUUGAUCCUAACUCCAAUUAAUCAUUCUUCUUCUUCUUCUUCAACUUCAUCAAUCUAUUGAUUUUUCUUCUCACUACUUUCCUUCCUUCUUUGCAGCUUUAAUCUGUCUAAGCCAUGUUCUGACGAAUUCUUGUCAACCAAAACGACCGUUUGAAGCAUAUAUUGGAUAGUACUGGUGUUGGCGGUGGUGAUGGCGAUGCUGUUGCUGAGAUCAACGGUGAGAUUAGAGCACGGUUUCUUGGAAUCAAAAGAAGAUGUACUUCUCUCAUUCUUCAGUUGACAAAUGUUUAUGAACAAAACAAUGAGUUAUCGGUUGUGAAUCUUUCAAUCGAAGAAAUCUUGAAAUAUAGAUGUUAGUACGUUUACUGUUUUUCAUGAUUCAUGAUGUUGAUGAAAAAUUGAGAUCCAUUGAUGAUGGUAAUUUUACAGAUAAUACAGAACCAGUUGGUUUUACGCCACGAUUUGGCUUCCAUCAUCCAAAUCAAGAAGCAACACCAUAUUACCCACAGUCAUAUACAAACAUUCAAUGUGUUUAAGAAAGCAGGUCUAAACAGGUCGACCUGAACCCGACCUGUUUAAUUAGCAGGUCAGGUUCGGGUUUAAGGAAAAAGAGUUAAACAGGUUAACAGGUCAGGUUCGGGUUUAAGCGAAAAACACCCCAACCUGUUAAGACCCGACCUGAACCCGACACGACCCGACACGAUUGCCACCCCUAGUUUUAGAUGACGUGAACAACAAAAUUGACUAUAGGAUUUUGAACCAACUUUUGUGUUAAGCUAGCAAGUGCUAGACAUGGUGGUAUUGACGACUGGAUGAAGAGUGAUAUUAAGCCUACCUUUGCUGCCUAAAGCAUUAACUCUUGCUUUCUUGAGUUUAAAUUUUUUUCCUUUUAAGAGCACAAGACAUUAUUUUAUUUAUUUAUUUUUUUUUUUUAUAAAGCAAAACAAGACACUUGACCACUGUGAUUCUAAAUUUCUGAUAUGAUCAUCCGACUAUAUUCUUUCCCAUAAUCAUCUUUUCUUUACUUAUGCGGUACUAUUUUGAUUCACAUUUUCCUUUGAGCAACACAAGACACUUGGGUAAACAAUUUUUUUUUAUCGUGAAUAGAUAUUAUAAAUAGGAACAUAAGGUCAUGUAUUUUAAUAAAAUAUUUGCAUUUAGCAUUUUGUGCAUACUUAGCUGGUGUAGCUCAGUUGGUUAGAGUGUGUGGCUUUUAAACCACAAAGUCGAAGGUUCAAGCCCUUCCUCCAGCAUCUGUAUUUACUGUAGCUUUGAUAUUUUGGCAUAAUAUUCAUAUUUAUCUCAAGUAGCUCAUUUUGUUCGAGUUUGAUGGUUUUUUACCUCGAUGUUGAGUUCAAGCCUUUUUUAUACAAUUUACAUUUUAAUUGCCAGUUUUAUUACAAUUUGGUGCUUUCAACGAUGUAAUGAAAUUAGUUUCAAUUCUUUUAUAUUGUCAUCAUUCUAGCCUAGAACUAAUAUGUUACACGGCACACAGCUGUUUUCAUCCUCGAAAUCGUUGCGAUCUUUAGAAACUAACACAAAUAGUUGUGAAACAUGGUCUUUAAUGAAGAUGAAGAUAGCUGGCGGACGAAAUUGAGCAGAAAAGGGGAUUUUUUUGUCCACUCCAUGGGUUUUUUAGAAGAAUUUUUUAUCAAAGUUUGUUUGGUAAUUUCUAUGACUUUUCUAAGGUCCCUAUUCUAACCCUCAUGUACAAUUGGCCAAAACAGUUUUUCUAAACAAAAUUUCAUAGUAUUCGGUAUCUCCUGAUAUAGCAAUUGCAACAUCUCCAAGCUUGAAACUCUCACCUGUUCAGAACUUUGUUUAUGGUGUUUCACGUGGUGGAUAGACUUGAGCUUUGGCGGAAGUGCUAUCAAUAGUUGAAAGUAACAACAUGCGUACUAUCAGCAUGUUCCUGCAAGAUUGUUGUCUAUUGUUCCUAGCACAACAACUGAUCUUAAAUAUGGCUGAAACAUUGGCCCAAACUUCUUCACGAGCUCACUAUGUUCCCUAGGUACUGAAGGUGAUUUUUUCUUUUUUAUCUAAAUUUUGGACAGAACAUGAAAAUAACAUGUUACUUAUUGUUUCCUUGGCUGUCUAAUUUCAGAUAUCAUUUGAAAUUCAAAGACCGGAGGAAUUGGCUAUUAAAGAAUCUAGGGAUUAAAGCAUUUAUAUGUAAAUAAAAAAUAAUCUAACAACCAACAAUUUCAACAAUAAGUUAUGACAGUAGUGAUAUCCAAAUUAUCAAAAAAUAAUUAUAGGUUCAAAAUGUCAAUAAGAAAAUCGAUGUAUCUCAUUGACUGGAAAGAAGCAAAUGAGAUUAUGGAGGUAUUCUUCGAAGAAAAAAAAAAGAUAUGAACAAACAAAGACUAAGAAAGAAACAGUCAUUGGAGAGAAGAUACAAAUAUAAGAUAAGUUAAGCGUCAAAAUAGAGAAUCUCAACAACAAUAAAAUAAUUUAUUUAUGUUGUUUUGAGAAAAUCCUACAUAUUAUUGUGUAAGGUAGUAUUUUCAAUAGAAAAUAUUACAUUGCCGACUGCAAUUUACGAAUAUGUUAUCAUAUUUUUGAUAAAAUUAUUGUCACACAAACUUCUAUUAAAUGGUUUCUUUGAAAAAAAUGGUUGUUCAUUUCGUCAUACCAUAUGUGAUUUUAACUUUUAUUUCUACAUCACAUGAUUAUCUUGAGUGGAAUAGAUAUUUGUGUUGUUCAUAACAUCAAACUGGUGGCUUUUUUGUCUCUGUCAAACUACGUUAAUCACUCGCUUAGGGAUGGACACAGAUAAUAAGAUAGAGCUAAUUUUUGAAGGUAUUACUAUUGAUAACGGAUGGUAUACAGUUGACCUUUAUGGCAUACUUACAAGUUAUUAUGGACAAAUAAUAUAUCCAAAUGCUUUUUUGAAAACAAUCUGAAAGGAGAAAAUAAUGGAAAUAAUAAGAUCAACAGUAGAAGAUAUACCACCAGAAGAAGAAGAUGAUACAUAUAUGGACGAAAUGGACAAAAUGGACCUGAUGAAAAAAAAGAUGAUAUACAAGAAAUUUCAAAUGGAUACAUUGAGCUGUUAGAGAUAUUUACUCUAAAAAAUUUAGUUAAUUAGAUUAAUUAUUAUAUUUUUAAGAAUAAUUACUUCAAAUAAAUAAUGGUUGACCAACAUCACCUGAGUAUCUGACAGUCAGAAACCUACUCAGUUUUGCACAGUUGUACUGAGCAUUUGUUGUGUUAUAGCAGUAGCUUAAUGUUACCACCUAUGAUGCAAAAUUUUUGUUAUUAGAGUAUUUGACUAUAGGGACCAAUUAUGUGAUUAUUUAUAAUUUAGAUCAACAAUUUUAUCCAUGCAUCAAUGUCCCUAAGACUAUAAAGCGUCAGAACAAUUAUAUUUUUUAAAUAAAAAAAAAUUAUAUUUUUUAGAGUUCUAUUUUCAAAUUAUUAAUGGUAGUCGUGGCAGCGCCACGGGUUUUACUAGUAUAUAUAUAGGCAUCAUAAUGUCAAUCACUUGCUCAGCUAAUAUAGGUGAGUGCCACCUUGCAUCCUUUUCUGACACAUCAACUUGAUUGCUAAUCAAGUAUCACUGAUGGUCUACCUAAUCACCUGGAUUAAUAGUGUGGGCUUGGAUUUGGACAUCCACUAUUUACAACAAGCCCAAAUAUAUGUGUAGAAGAACAUAGAUGACAGUAUUCACCAGAGCUUGGACGCUUGGUUGCAGAUCGAGAACAAAGAGGGAAAUCUGAAAUUUUUAUUUUUUAACGAGGGAAAAGUUUUGCGAAAUACAGGCCCUUUUAGAUAGAGCCCAACCCAACAAAGAAGCCUGGUGUGGUGUUUGAUGAUAAGUAGGGUUCUUUUCUUUUAACUAUAAAUUAUUGUUUCUCUCUUAUCGAUUGAUCUUCUACCAUCAAAUUAGGGUUUCUUCUUCAUCUCCAUUGUAACACAACAUCAUGAGGGCUAAGGUAACAACAACAUCUUUAACUCUUUCUAUCUCUUAAUCUAUUACAAUUGUUGUUCUCUUUCUAUCUCUUAAUCUAUUAAAAUUGUUGUUAGUAAUGUGUAGGUUUUGAUAUAUUGUGUGAUUUGUUUGUUUGUUAUUUGAUUUAUACAACAGUGGAAGAAGAAGCGAAUGAGGAGAUUGAAGAGGAAGCGUCGAAAGAUGAGACAGAGAUCCAAGUAGAUUGAUCGAAAUUAAAGUUUUAUGUUUUUGUUUUGUUUUAGUCGGUAGAUAUAUGUAUCGAUAUCGGAGUUUUCUUUUUAGAUCGGAAACGAUUUCACUUUCGGCGGAUGAAUCGGAAUCGGAAUAGCUACUAAAAUAGUAGUUUUAUGUUUAUCGUAAUUUGUAUCGGAUUUUAUGGGUUUUUUCCUAAUAUCGGAAGAAUCGGAUUAGUAGCUUAUGGUUAUGGUUAUUUGGAUGAAUGUUUGAUUUGAUUAAUUAG
RNAcentral lists this long non-coding RNA (37693 nucleotides) under Aquilegia coerulea. RNAcentral's name for it is "long non-coding RNA (ACOE_LNC000294)". The stretch from base 34457 to 34531 matches the Rfam family "tRNA". The record is from RNAcentral. Lineage: Eukaryota; Viridiplantae; Streptophyta; Magnoliopsida; Ranunculales; Ranunculaceae.